Molecule: ribosomal RNA, 460 nt
Filed under: uncultured bacterium
Lineage: Bacteria
Description: partial 16S ribosomal RNA
Rfam family: Bacterial small subunit ribosomal RNA
Source: RNAcentral
CCUACGUGUGGCAGCAGUGAGGAAUAUUGGUCAAUGGGCGCGAGCCUGAACCAGCCAAGUCGCGUGAGGGAUGACGGUCCUACGGAUUGUAAACCUCUUUUGCCGGGGAGCAAGCGUGCGUUCGUGAACGCACGUCGAGAGUACCCGGAGAAAAAGCAUCGGCUAACUCCGUGCCAGCAGCCGCGGUAAUACGGAGGAUGCGGGCGUUAUCCGGAUUUAUUGGGUUUAAGGGGUGCGUAGGCGGGAUGCAAAGUCAGCGGUAAAAAUGCGGUGCUCAACGCCGUCGAGCCGUUGAAACUGGAGUUCUUGAGUGGGCGAGAAGUAUGCGGAAUGCGUGGUGUAGCGGUGAAAUGCAUAGAUAUCACGCAGAACUCCGAUUGCGAAGGCAGCAUACCGGCGCCCUACUGACGCUGAGGCACGAAAGCGUGGGGAUCGAACAGGAUUAGAUACCCUGGUAGUC